RNAcentral lists this ribosomal RNA (764 nucleotides) under Enterococcus sp. 'Enterococ. M1'. RNAcentral describes it as "bacterial SSU rRNA". It matches the Rfam family "Bacterial small subunit ribosomal RNA", at positions 35 to 770 of the family's 1533-position model. Lineage: Bacteria; Bacillati; Bacillota; Bacilli; Lactobacillales; Enterococcaceae. The record is from RNAcentral.
GCUGCGCGGCGUGCCUAAUACUGCACGUCGAACGCUUCUUUCCUCCCGAGUGCUUGCACUCAAUUGGAAAGAGGAGUGGCGGACGGGUGAGUAACACGUGGGUAACCUACCCAUCAGAGGGGGAUAACACUUGGAAACAGGUGCUAAUACCGCAUAACAGUUUAUGCCGCAUGGCAUAAGAGUGAAAGGCGCUUUCGGGUGUCGCUGAUGGAUGGACCCGCGGUGCAUUAGCUAGUUGGUGAGGUAACGGCUCACCAAGGCCACGAUGCAUAGCCGACCUGAGAGGGUGAUCGGCCACACUGGGACUGAGACACGGCCCAGACUCCUACGGGAGGCAGCAGUAGGGAAUCUUCGGCAAUGGACGAAAGUCUGACCGAGCAACGCCGCGUGAGUGAAGAAGGUUUUCGGAUCGUAAAACUCUGUUGUUAGAGAAGAACAAGGACGUUAGUAACUGAACGUCCCCUGACGGUAUCUAACCAGAAAGCCACGGCUAACUACGUGCCAGCAGCCGCGGUAAUACGUAGGUGGCAAGCGUUGUCCGGAUUUAUUGGGCGUAAAGCGAGCGCAGGCGGUUUCUUAAGUCUGAUGUGAAAGCCCCCGGCUCAACCGGGGAGGGUCAUUGGAAACUGGGAGACUUGAGUGCAGAAGAGGAGAGUGGAAUUCCAUGUGUAGCGGUGAAAUGCGUAGAUAUAUGGAGGAACACCAGUGGCGAAGGCGGCUCUCUGGUCUGUAACUGACGCUGAAGCUCGAAAGCGUGGGGAGCA